This 4592-nucleotide long non-coding RNA is filed under the name Sorghum bicolor (sorghum). Its description in RNAcentral is "long non-coding RNA (SBIC_LNC006085)". Lineage: Eukaryota; Viridiplantae; Streptophyta; Magnoliopsida; Poales; Poaceae. The record is from RNAcentral.
CACACACACUCUCUCUCGCACUCCGCCCGCCCUCCUGCCGCUUCGCUGGCGAGCUGCCCCUCACUCCCUCCCUACCUUCCUGUCCCGCGACGUCCAUGGCCACCGGAGUGGAGGCGAUGGCGGAUGGCUUCUGGUGAGCCUGCGCGCCUCCCCUCCCUCCUUGAUCUCAUCCUCGCGCAUUAUGACCUCCAUACAACUGGAGACGAGGACGACGGCGUGGCUCCGAUAAGGUAGGUUGGGAGGGAUCUAGAUCUGAGACCUCUUUCCCCCUCCUUCCUCUCCUGGAUCUAGAUCUGCUCCCUCCUCAUGCACCUCUUCCUCAUCUUCUUUCCCUUCUGGAUCUAAAGGUUUGGUGGUAGCUAGGGUUCUCACGAGUCAGAUCUCAUCAUUGUUUGCAAUUAAUCAUUUUCAAUGUUGCAACAGAUGAUGUGGAAUGUUGCACGGUGUCUUUUUUUAGUUGUUGCGACAGGCGUUUCUUUGAUGUUGCAGAGCAAUUCUUGAGAUGUUUCAAUUGCUUUUUUCGUUGUUGCAGCAGUUUCCCCCAAUGUUGCAGUAGAUUUUUUUUUUGCAAUAGUUGCAUUAGUAGUGCUUGAGAUAUUGUAAUAGUUUCUUCUCGUUGUCACAGCAGAUUCGAUGUUACAAUGGAUGUUUUUGAAUAUUGCAGUAGACUUUUUUUAUGUUACAAUUUAUAUUUUUCUUUGUUGCAUUAGAUGUUCUUUUUGAUGUUUUAAUAGCUUUUUCCAUUUAUUUUAGCAGUUUUUCCUUUUGUUGCAUUUAGAUGUCUUUCCAUGCUGCAAUAGCCUUUUUCUAUUGUUGCAGCGCUGGGGGAUAGACUAUGGUGGCGAGCUAGUGGCAUGGUCGGAGGUGCUGGGGCUAGCGAGGUUGGGGGCGGAUAGAUCCGUGCACGUUGGGGGCACCUUUCUUUUCAGUGGCGGCACGGGGCGGGGGUUGCUUUCUCUUUGACAGUUCCGUGCACGUGGGGGCGCCUUUCUUCUCCGUGCGGGUAUAGGGCAAGGUUGCUUUCUCUUUUUCUUUUCUUUUUUUUCUUUUCGUACUAUUCUGUGCGGAGGGGGUAUAUGUAUAUAAUAACAUGAUUCGCUGCCGAGGAAAACAACUGGCUUUGAUAGAGAAUGCGAAAACAACUAGAAGCUUUCCUACCUGAAUGAGGGAACGCAGAGGCAGAGCCCAUGAUUUUAAUUAAGAGGGGACAAACAAAUGUGAUCAUAUUUUUAGUGUGAUAAAAUAUACAUAAUUAUAUGUUUGAACAACUUUAAAAAAAACUACAUUAUUUAUAACCAAAAUUAUAAUAUUUUAAGGUGAAAUUGAUUUUUUUUUUGCUAUAAAUUGAUAUAUUUAUAUAGGUAUUAAAUAAAUCUACUUGCUUAGGGGGCAUGGUCCCUGCUAACUCCCUGGCUCCGCCUCUGAUGGGAUGAUAAAGUCUGCGCCCCCUAUUUUGCAUUUUCUAACCCCCGCACUCAAUAAGUUUCAAAGUCUAUAUUUUCCAAGAGAGGUGUAGCCAUGCAGGAAUCACCGCGAUAUCAUCCCAUCAAAGGGAGUAUUUAUUUUUAUUACAUGAGAUGUCGGUAUCUUUUGUUUCAAUUUUUGUUAUUUUAAUUACUUUCCAUUUCCUUCUAAAUUUAUAGUUUAAUUAUGUCUAUUCCAUGAUGUAUACAUUCGGAAUUAUACUCUCAUUUCCAUUUGACUUUAUCUUUUUCAUUUUACUAUGGUUAAUUAGUUUUAAAAAAACAUGUUUUACUUUUUAUUUUUGUGUACCUUGCUCGUAGUAGUGUCACGUAUUCAUACAUGCAGCACGGUCGAUUGGUUGUCCACUUGUCUUUGUGGCGUGUUUUCUCGUGACUCGAGUCUCCAACCAAUGAAUGCGCAGCACAAUGAAAUUUUAUUUGUGAAGAACUCCAUCAAACAUCACAGCAUGAUACAUAGGACAAAAUUUGAUGCACUACUUUGAAUUUAUAGAUAUCUGCCUAUCUGGAAUACAAAACACACAUGAUUUGUGCAUUAACCCAUUGACAAUAACUAGACCAUAUUAGCCUAUAAAUUCUUAACCUAUAGGACUCUAACUUUUUUUUCCUGCAUACUGUGAGACCCUACAAAUUCUUAACCUAUAGGACUAGCACGACUCUCUACUCUAACCAUGCCUAAGCUAGGAGCUUUGGUUCCUUGUGGCGUAUGAUGGUUCUCAGAUGUUGAAUCUCAUCUUUAUCCUUCACAACAGUUCCGAUACUUUGGCUGUAAUACUUGCACCAUCCUUAUCUUCACGAGCUCCCACAGGCAUGAAACAAGAUUUCCAUCCAGCAGCAAGCAGUUGAUGGCAUAUGAUUUAAGACCUGCCAAAAAGAAAUAAGGACCAAAAAACACAACAUAAACAUAAUAGAGCAUUUUUUUUAUGCUUAAGGAAUGAAUGAAGGAUUCUGAUACCAGACAUGCCUCGACUCCGAUUUCUGGCCUCUCAAGUGCUAUGCAACUUCACACCUGCAUCACCUUUUGAGACCACUUUGAAUCACAUGAUGUAUCCACUUUGUGGAUCAGGACAGUAAAUCAAUGACAAAUAGCAAGACAGGCAAAGAGUUCAGAUCAUAUCAAACUAGAAUCUUAAUUUGACAGGGAGAAAGUAUAGGAAGCAAAACCUCAACUGCAACGACGUUUCAAUUCACUUCAUCCCCACCUAUGUCUAAGUGUACCUUCUCGGCAAUGGCAAGAACUGAGCUCUCUACAAACUCUGCACAAUUGCUGCUUGCCAAGCUUCUGAUUUCCUCAAACUUUGUUUCAUCCUUCUGAGCCACGCAUUCUGAAGAUGUGUGCAGUGGCAUUCUCUGAAUUGUAUUAAGUUCAAGAUCUGAUGUCAAGUUACCGAGCUUGCUGGAUUCAUCAGCCAAAACAACUGCUCCCACUGCUGCAAAGCUUGUGCCUGAUGCUGAGGUAUCCUCAGAUCCAUAUGGUGAAGUAGUUAAUUGUGCUUGUUCUAAGUUUAUAUCAUCAUGUGAUGGAGAAGUCUGAGCUCUGCUGCAAACGACACUUGAAACGAAUUUGACUGGGCUGUCACAAACGACGUUACUGACACUAUUUCCAUGAGGUGGGGUUCCCACACCAGGUGGGCUUACUGAAGCCCAUUUUACAGAUUUGUGAAGUUCCACAUGGCCAUCUCCAUCAGAAUCAUACUUUCUCUUAAGCUGACUGUCCAGAUAUGGGCUCAAUGUGACAUCUCCAUCAGACUGCUCUUGUUGGUUUGCAUGCAUUGUAGGGCAGGGUUUCUUGUAUCCUUGCUCAAAUACAUAAGAUGGGACCUGCUCCCUUUGGACAUGGGUGACAGCCAGAUCCAUCCCAGGCAUCCACAAUGAAUACAUGCCAAUUUCACGCAUAAAUUCAUCUACUGUCCCACGGAUAUCAAACUGUUGUCCACGUUUUUUCGACCCCUCUUUCCUUGAUAAGCCCAUGUAGAAGGCACAAUGUGCACACUCUAUUGUGGGAUCUGAAUACUCACAUGGGUACGGAUGGCACUGCAAAAUUCCUUUAGUAUCCCGAUCAAUCUGCAUUUUAGAAGAACAAAUACCAUAAGGACAUUAUAUUUUUCAGUAAAUACAAUACAACCAUGCUUUUAUGUGCACUCCAUAUGUCUAACUAAGAAAACUAACAACAGUUGAAGUCAUGGUGCACAAAAUUAAGAAACUGAAAAGGUACCUUUAAAGUAAGUUGUCUCAAACGAGACUCGAUCCAUCCCUUCCAAAGACGAAGAUCAUCAUCAUUCUCUGCAACUAUGUCAACCACUAGAAACUUUCUGUAUGCCUCAAAAAAAUGGAAAGGCUCAAAUAAAGCAUUCCAAUUGGCCUUAUUAAGUUCAAUUUCCUGCAUAAAAGAUAGGCAGUGAGACCAUACCAAGAACAUUAGCUAUCAGCCGUAAAUUUACAGGUAGAAAUCAAUGCAUACCUGACAAAUUUUGUUGCCAAAUUGAAAUUGCUCCAUUAUAACCCUCAGUGUGCUGCUUGAAACAUUGUAACUAGAGUUCAUGCAUGGGUAGGCUGGAGUGAUGAUGGGCAUGAGAUGGUUUCUAUCACGCGGAUUUUUGCGCGGAUCCCAUAUAGAAAAACCAAGAUCAUUAUUCUCAAUUGCACAUAGCAUCACUGGAUUUGGCCAUUGCCACUGGGUAAAAACUCUGAAGAACCUAGAAACCAGCAUACUUGGCACAGCAUUAGGGUAGAGUUGGCAGACACGGGCAACCAGCAGAGCCCAGUUGACACCCCCAAGGAAACCAGUAAUCUGACAAGGAAAAUACUAACAUCACUACAGUUCAUUUGCGAGGACAAACUUCUUUUUCUUAGUGUUCAUUCAGUCCAACUACAAGAUGAAUUGUGCAAAUAAUUUAUAAUAAACUCAGGCAUACAUUAGAAUAAACACCCCUUCUCUUUGCCCAGUACUUCAAGCAUCUGAGUGUUGUCCGGAAAUUCUGCAAAGCACAAAGUUUGGUAUACUAACACAGUGGGACCAUACCAUACAGGAUAAAGUUGAGGCAGUUGUUUCAUAUAACCUCAACAUUUGGAACAAGCCGAAGAAUCUGAUCCGCCACUCUGCAUCCAUUA